This is a long non-coding RNA of Mugil cephalus (flathead mullet), 170 nucleotides long. RefSeq lists it as uncharacterized. The record is from RefSeq and is a predicted model, not a curated record. Lineage: Eukaryota; Metazoa; Chordata; Actinopteri; Mugiliformes; Mugilidae. The transcript is spliced from 3 exons.
GUGAGCAGAAAGACAAGAUGGAAGUUACACCUCUCUGCCUCAGACUGUUGCUGCUGGAGUUCAUUCAUCUGGGGACACAUGUUCAGAGUAGUUACAGUGGCAGAAGUGAUGUUGUGUUCCUUCGUGUCACUCCGAACAGACUGCAGCACUUUGAGUACGAGCGCUUGAUG